AGCAGCCGCGGUAAUUCCAGCUCCAAUAGCGUAUAUUAAAGUUGUUGCAGUUAAAAAGCUCGUAGUUGAAUCUCGGGAUCAAAUUGUUGGUCGUGCUUCGGUACGCACUGGCAUUAUUGGUUUCUACCUUCUGAAGAACCGCGAUGUCAUUAAUUUGGUGUCGUGGGGAAUCAGGACUGUUACUUUGAAAAAAUUAGAGUGUUUAAAGCAGGCGCACGCUUGAAUACAUUAGCAUGGAAUAAUGAAAUAGGACGUUUGAUUCUAUUUUGUUGGUUUCUAGGAUCGACGUAAUGAUUAAUAGGGAUAGUUGGGGGCAUUAGUAUUCAAUUGUCAGAGGUGAAAUUCUUGGAUUUAUUGAAGACUAACUACUGCGAAAGCAUUUGCCAAGGAUGCUUUCAUUAAUCAAGAACGAAAGUUAGGGGAUCGAAGACGAUCAGAUACCGUCGUAGUCUUAACCAUAAACUAUGCCGACUAGGGAUCGGAUGAUGUUAAUUUUAUAAUGACUC
Molecule: ribosomal RNA, 506 nt
Filed under: uncultured Glomeromycotina
Lineage: Eukaryota; Fungi; Glomeromycota
Description: SSU rRNA
Rfam family: Eukaryotic small subunit ribosomal RNA
Source: RNAcentral